AAAAUUUAAUCUUUUAUACAUAGCUACGCUUAUAUGCUUUUAGAAGUACAGUGACCUCCGUCUUAUCAUGUUACUUUUAGUGUUCCGACUUCCGAUAAUCAGUUUAAUUAGAUUUGAUCUAAACCACUUGAAAUAUCUAGAAAAUAAAUUUCACAAUAUUUUUAUAUUAUUAACCUAGUGAUUAAACGGAUCCAACAUCAAUAAUUCUAAUGAUCGUGGUGAGCCGUUUAUAAGUUUAACGGUGUAUAAAUAUUCAAAACACGUGAAAUUUAGAUAGAAGAUUUUUUCAUACUAAAUAAAAUAAAAUCAAUAUUUUUUUAUCUAAAAUUUACUUGGUAUUAUAUCAUCACUUUUAGUGAUAUUUUUAUUUUCAGCUGUUAAUUUUAUGCCCUUUCGACCGCUACGUAAUAAUAUCAAAAAAUUACAAAAUUUAUUUUCUAAAUACUUUAAUACUUAAUAUUAAGUUUAACGGAGCUGAUAAUCGAUUCGGAAGUCCUAUCAUCAACUUGAC
RNAcentral lists this long non-coding RNA (511 nucleotides) under Ananas comosus (pineapple). RNAcentral describes it as "long non-coding RNA (ACOM_LNC031206)". The record is from RNAcentral. Lineage: Eukaryota; Viridiplantae; Streptophyta; Magnoliopsida; Poales; Bromeliaceae.